Cicer arietinum (chickpea) is the source of this 1364-nucleotide RNA transcript. RefSeq lists it as uncharacterized. NCBI's taxonomy places the organism in Eukaryota, Viridiplantae, Streptophyta, Magnoliopsida, Fabales, Fabaceae. The record is from RefSeq and is a predicted model, not a curated record.
CAAAAGUUAGAUAGAAGUAGUUGAUUUUUGUAACGAGUGAUAGAUAGAUACACUAACUAGUAGGAGUACUAGUCGAAUUUGUGUUUGUUAAUGAGCACAAGAAAACAAAAUGAGGUUAUUAAAAUUAUUAUUAAGGUCGUGCAAUUCAAAAGAUAAUUAAAAUCAGAAUAUGGCAUUGCAAGGAUUAAGUACUGCAGCUGUAGCGGUAUCGGUAGGUCCUCCUUCUCUUCUUCGAGCUAGAGUCUACAGCGUCACGUCAUCAACGUCGAGGUUAUGCUGUGGCGGUCGGACUCGUUAUUCGGGAAUCAGAUUCGGCUGUAAAGCCGUCGGAGAAAACCAGCAAGGUUCAUUGGACGAUAACGUAGUUUAUAACGGUAUUUAUGGCCCUUGGUCCGUUGAUUCCUCCGAUGUUCGAGAGGUUAUUUUGUACAGAUCAGGAUUGGUGACAGCUGCUGCAUCCUUUGUCAUGGCUGCAUCUACUGCCUAUUUGCCCGAUAACCUUAGUGAUAUUCUCAAGCAAAACCUUGAUUUUUUUUAUAUCCUUGGGUCAGGUGGGUUGGGUUUAUCAUUAUUCUUGAUUCAUAUCUAUGUCACUGAAAUCAAGCGAACCAUACAAGCAUUUUGGGGACUUGGGGUUCUUGGAUCAGCUGCAACCUACAUCGCCCUUGCUCAACCAGCUAAUAAAACUCUAGUACAAUAUGUUGUUGAUCACCCAUCAGCUGUCUGGCUUGUCGGUCCUCUUUUUGCUGCUUUGACAGGACUUGUUUUCAAGGAAGGACUGUGUUACGGCAAGCUAGAAGCUGGAGCUCUCACGUUUAUUAUUCCUAUACUUCUUCUUGGGCAUCUGACAAAUUUUACGCUAAAAUUUGCAGAGCGGUUUGAUGGAUGAUGGAGCUAAACUUACUUUGCUUGCUUUAUGGAUGGGUCUUUUUGUGAUAUUUGCCGGAAGGAAGUUUACCCAGCCCAUCAAGGAUGACAUCGGUGACAAGUCUGUUUUUGUGUUCAAUUCACUCCGUGAUGACGAAAAGACAGCCUUGAUUAAGAAAUUGGAACAACAAAAAACUCAGUAUUAAGCGUAUCAGCUGCAAUACACCUUAAGGUGGAUUUCAGUAACUCUUAGGAGCUUUUUUCUAAAAGAUGAUGGCACGCAAAGCUAUGUGAGCAGAGCCUGCAAUUCUCUUAUGAGGGAGACGGCACUUUCCCAUUAUGUCUUCCUUUUGUUCUUGUAAAAAUUGUAUGCCACGUCUUCCUUUCGUCCCUGUAAAAAUUGUAUGCUAUAUUGCCUAAUGACAAUUUAGUACAGCAGUGUAGACUUGUUUUAGAUAGUAUCUCAUAAUCUUAUCUUAAUCUUAAUAAUAUAUAAA